RNAcentral lists this ribosomal RNA (253 nucleotides) under uncultured bacterium. Its description in RNAcentral is "partial 16S ribosomal RNA". It matches the Rfam family "Bacterial small subunit ribosomal RNA", at positions 524 to 776 of the family's 1533-position model. The record is from RNAcentral.
UACGUAGGGCCCGAGCAUUAUCCGGAAUUAUUGGGCGUAAAGAGCGUGUAGGUGUCUUAUCAAGUCGGUCGUUAAAUCUCAGAGCUCAACUCUGGGACCGCGAGCGAUACUGAUGAGAUUGAGGUUUGCAGGGGCUAGCAGAAUUUCUGGAGUAGGGGUGAAAUCCGUUGAUACCAGAAGGAAUACCAAUGGCGAAGGCAGCUAGCUGGGCAAUACCUGACACUGAGACGCGAAAGCGUGGGGAGCAAACGGG